GGGGAAUAUUGCACAAUGGGCGAAAGCCUGAUGCAGCAACGCCGCGUGAGUGAAGAAGGUUUUCGGAUUGUAAAGUUCUGUCAUCUGGGACGAUAAUGACGGUACCUGAGGAGGAAGCCACGGCUAACUACGUGCCAGCAGCCGCGGUAAUACGUAGGUGGCAAGCGUUGUCCGGAUUUACUGGGCGUAAAGGGAGCGUAGGUGGAUAUUUAAGUGGGAUGUGAAAUACUCGGGCUUAACCUGGGUGCUGCAUUCCAAACUGGAUAUCUAGAGUGCAGGAGAGGAAAGUAGAAUUCCUAGUGUAGCGGUGAAAUGCGUAGAGAUUAGGAAGAAUACCAGUGGCGAAGGCGACUCUCUGGGCUGUAACUGACGCUGAGGCGCGAAAGCGUGGGGAGCAAAC
RNAcentral lists this ribosomal RNA (400 nucleotides) under uncultured bacterium. RNAcentral describes it as "bacterial SSU rRNA". It matches the Rfam family "Bacterial small subunit ribosomal RNA", at positions 356 to 773 of the family's 1533-position model. The record is from RNAcentral.